Molecule: ribosomal RNA, 119 nt
Filed under: Salmo salar (Atlantic salmon)
Lineage: Eukaryota; Metazoa; Chordata; Actinopteri; Salmoniformes; Salmonidae
Source: RNAcentral
GCUUACGGCCAUACCAGCCUGGGUACGCCCGAUCUCGUCUGAUCUCGGAAGCUAAGCAGGGUCGGGCCUGGUUAGUACUUGGAUGGGAGACCGCCUGGGAAUGCCAGGUGCUGUGAGCA